This 1499-nucleotide ribosomal RNA is filed under the name metagenome. RNAcentral describes it as "bacterial SSU rRNA". It matches the Rfam family "Bacterial small subunit ribosomal RNA". The record is from RNAcentral.
GAGUUUGAUCAUGGCUCAGAUUGAACGCUGGCGGCAGGCCUAACACAUGCAAGUCGAACGGUAACAGGAAGCAGCUUGCUGCUUCGCUGACGAGUGGCGGACGGGUGAGUAAUGUCUGGGAAGCUGCCUGAUGGAGGGGGAUAACUACUGGAAACGGUAGCUAAUACCGCAUAAUGUCGCAAGACCAAAGAGGGGGACCUUCGGGCCUCUUGCCAUCGGAUGUGCCCAGAUGGGAUUAGCUUGUUGGUGGGGUAACGGCUCACCAAGGCGACGAUCCCUAGCUGGUCUGAGAGGAUGACCAGCCACACUGGAACUGAGACACGGUCCAGACUCCUACGGGAGGCAGCAGUGGGGAAUAUUGCACAAUGGGCGCAAGCCUGAUGCAGCCAUGCCGCGUGUAUGAAGAAGGCCUUCGGGUUGUAAAGUACUUUCAGCGGGGAGGAAGGGAGUAAAGUUAAUACCUUUGCUCAUUGACGUUACCCGCAGAAGAAGCACCGGCUAACUCCGUGCCAGCAGCCGCGGUAAUACGGAGGGUGCAAGCGUUAAUCGGAAUUACUGGGCGUAAAGCGCACGCAGGCGGUUUGUUAAGUCAGAUGUGAAAUCCCCGGGCUCAACCUGGGAACUGCAUCUGAUACUGGCAAGCUUGAGUCUCGUAGAGGGGGGUAGAAUUCCAGGUGUAGCGGUGAAAUGCGUAGAGAUCUGGAGGAAUACCGGUGGCGAAGGCGGCCCCCUGGACGAAGACUGACGCUCAGGUGCGAAAGCGUGGGGAGCAAACAGGAUUAGAUACCCUGGUAGUCCACGCCGUAAACGAUGUCGACUUGGAGGUUGUGCCCUUGAGGCGUGGCUUCCGGAGCUAACGCGUUAAGUCGACCGCCUGGGGAGUACGGCCGCAAGGUUAAAACUCAAAUGAAUUGACGGGGGCCCGCGCAAGCGGUGGAGCAUGUGGUUUAAUUCGACGCAACGCGAAGAACCUUACCUGGUCUUGACAUCCACGGAAGUUUUCAGAGAUGAGAAUGUGCCUUCGGGAACCGUGAGACAGGUGCUGCAUGGCUGUCGUCAGCUCGUGUUGUGAAAUGUUGGGUUAAGUCCCGCAACGAGCGCAACCCUUAUCCUUUGUUGCCAGCGGUCCGGCCGGGAACUCAAAGGAGACUGCCAGUGAUAAACUGGAGGAAGGUGGGGAUGACGUCAAGUCAUCAUGGCCCUUACGACCAGGGCUACACACGUGCUACAAUGGCGCAUACAAAGAGAAGCGACCUCGCGAGAGCAAGCGGACCUCAUAAAGUGCGUCGUAGUCCGGAUUGGAGUCUGCAACUCGACUCCAUGAAGUCGGAAUCGCUAGUAAUCGUGGAUCAGAAUGCCACGGUGAAUACGUUCCCGGGCCUUGUACACACCGCCCGUCACACCAUGGGAGUGGGUUGCAAAAGAAGUAGGUAGCUUAACCUUCGGGAGGGCGCUUACCACUUUGUGAUUCAUGACUGGGGUGGAGUCGUAACAAGGUA